AGUGAACGCUGGCGGUAGGCCUAACACAUGCAAGUCGAACGGAAGCACAGUAAGAGCUCGUCCCUACGGUUAGCGAGUGGCGGACGGGUGAGGAAUAGAUAGGCAUCCUAUUUUUCGGGGAUGAUAACGUGAGGAAGCUGACGCUAACACAGCAUACUUCGUACGGGUGAAUGCAGGAGUUCAACAGACCUUUCGCGAUUCUAUGAGACGUUGCCGGAUUAGCUAGUUGGCGGGGUAAAGGCCCACCAAGGCGACGAUCCGUAGCUGGUCUGAGAGGAUGAUCGGCCACACUGGAACUGAGACACGGUCCAGACUCCUACGGGAGGCAGCAGUGGGGAAUAUUCGACAAUGGGCGCAAGCCUGAUCCAGCCACGCCGCGUGGGUGAAGAAGGCCUUCGGGUUGUAAAACUCUUUUGUUGGGAAAGAAAACCAGUAGGUUAACUCCCGGCUGUCUUGACGGUACCCAAAGAGUAAGCUCCGGCUAACUUCGUG
This 492-nucleotide ribosomal RNA is filed under the name uncultured bacterium. Its description in RNAcentral is "partial 16S ribosomal RNA". It matches the Rfam family "Bacterial small subunit ribosomal RNA", at positions 29 to 507 of the family's 1533-position model. The record is from RNAcentral.